RNAcentral lists this ribosomal RNA (330 nucleotides) under uncultured eukaryote. Its description in RNAcentral is "partial 18S ribosomal RNA". It matches the Rfam family "Eukaryotic small subunit ribosomal RNA", at positions 1470 to 1796 of the family's 1831-position model. The record is from RNAcentral.
CCCUUAGAUGUUCGGGGCCGCACGCGCGCUACACUGAAGGAAUCAGCGCGUCUUUCUCCUUGUCCGAAAGGACUGGGUAACCCGCUGAACCUCCUUCGUGCUAGGGAUUGGGGCUUGUAAUUCUUCCCCAUGAACGAGGAAUUCCCAGUAAGCGCGAGUCAUGAGCUCGCGUUGAUUACGUCCCUGCCCUUUGUACACACCGCCCGUCGCUACUACCGAUUGGAUGGUUUAGUGAGAUCCUCGGAUUGGUCCCGGCGCGGCCUCUGGUCGUGCCGGAGUGCCGAAAAGAAUGUCGAACUUGAUCAUCUAGAGGAAGUAAAAGUCGUAACA